GGAAACUGCGAGUAAUGCCCAAUAAUCCCUACGGGGCAAAGGUCCGCCGCAGGAGGAGCGGCCGAUGUGAUACCAGCUAGUUGGUGAGGUAAUGGCUCACCAAGGCUUAGACGUCUAGGGGGUGUGAGAGCAUGGCCCCCACCACUGGGACUGAGAUACUGCCCAGACACCUACGGGUGGCUGCAGUCGAGAAUCUUCGGCAAUGGGCGCAAGCCUGACCGAGCAACGCCGCGUGCGGGAUGAAGGCCCUUGGGUUGUAAACCGCUGUCAGGGGGGAUGAAAGCGCAAGCUUGACAGAGCCCCAGAGGAAGCACGGGCUAAGUUCGUG
RNAcentral lists this ribosomal RNA (328 nucleotides) under uncultured bacterium. RNAcentral's name for it is "bacterial SSU rRNA". It matches the Rfam family "Bacterial small subunit ribosomal RNA", at positions 152 to 507 of the family's 1533-position model. The record is from RNAcentral.